GGGCUGGGGCUCAGUGGCAAAGUGCUCGCCUAACGCGCGCGAGGCCCUGGGUUCAAUCCUCAGGACCA
This 68-nucleotide transfer RNA is filed under the name Marmota monax (woodchuck). RNAcentral describes it as "tRNA.Val". Lineage: Eukaryota; Metazoa; Chordata; Mammalia; Rodentia; Sciuridae. The record is from RNAcentral.